UGGUGGUUAUCCUACGACUUCUAAGCAAUCUCAAACAUGGGCAACUUUCAUUGGGAGCUAAUGCAUAGCUUGAUCGUGAUACGCUAGGGUGGACUUGGGCCUUAGUGACUUUAAAAUGAAGCUAGUCUAAUUAAAACAUGUUAUGUACUCUAUGUUUCAGUUAUUUCAAGACAAUGUACCUCUUUUAUUGAUAAAUAAAAUAUAACUUUAAAUGC
Molecule: long non-coding RNA, 215 nt
Filed under: Helianthus annuus (common sunflower)
Lineage: Eukaryota; Viridiplantae; Streptophyta; Magnoliopsida; Asterales; Asteraceae
Description: sRNA HanXRQr2_Chr09g0367471
Source: RNAcentral